UUAACUUUCGUCGUGCCAUCCAACUACGAUCUAAAAAGAGGUUCAUGAUACGCCAAACCUGAAGUGUAAUUCUGAAUUCACUAUAAAAAUGACACAUUAUUAACCAGUAGAGUCGUAAAACUUAGUAAUAGUACAUAAUUACACUUGUCUCGACUGUUAAGUUGCUUAAUCUCAUUCUGAUUCAUCAUUCAAUAUAUUGUUUGUGUUUACGAUGCCUUUAUUUGAGCAGUUUAUGCAAUAUUAUUUUAAUGUUGUGUAUCUCUUAGUUUCUUAUCUAACAUAGAAGGCAAAUAGGCUCUUGGUUGAUUUAAAUUCUCAUAAUAAUAACAAUUAAUAUUGGGUGGGUGCAAAAGCAGAGAUGAAGUCCAGGAUAAUUACAUGCAUUAGUCAGGAUACGAGUACUCUUGAGUAUAGAAACAAGGGAAAACAUUUAAGGUGGAGCACAAAAUCGAGCAUACAUAAAGGACUAGAACAAAAUAAAAAUAUUCUGAGUACGAUAAAAAAAUAUUACUCCAAAAAACAAGAGCCUGUAAUUAAAUAGAGAUGAAUAAUGAUAAACAACACUAACUCACACUCAUUAAAAAGCGAGAAGAUUUGAUGAACAUUUAUAUUCACGAAACUUAGAACUAAUAAUUUCCAAAAUAGAAGCACCUUCUUUUUUAAAUUGUAGAAACAAGUAAACAACCAAUAUAUGCAAAUCCUGCUUAUCAAUGUCUAUAAGACUAACACAUCCAUUUUAAAAAUUAAUGUAAUUAUUUACUGGAAUUUCUGCAAGGAUCGUAGUAGAACAGAAAAAGGUCGAAUUCAUUUCACACGAAAUGACAGAAAAAAUAAAAUUCCACUGAUGGAAAGGAUUUAAAGGUAAUGGCAAAGAAUUUCAGUUUCCUAAAUGAGAUUUGAAGUAUACAAAAUAUUUGCACAUACUGUAGUUCCACAUUGCAAUGCCUAAAAGAGUAUAUCACACUAACUCCAAAAAAAACGAACAGAAAACAGAGUAUUACAUUUUAAAGAAGCACAACUCUAUACUAACCCAUAUUGAUCACCAUAAGCAGGAGAAUGUAACCAGUAGAUUUAUAAUCAAGUUUAGAUAUCUAGCAUGACAUCCUAUGUCCAUGGGAAUUAGUUAUUUUUUGGUUAAAUAUGUAAUUAGCUAAACCGAUCUCACAUGCAAUCAGGGACCUCCUGUUAUACCCUGUGCAAUUGCUUGUUUAUCAAUGUUUUACUCAUACAUCGGCUCUCACAUCAGUAUGGGUAACUAUUCAACAGGUGCAGUUGUCAACUCUCCCACAUUUCACAAAUGCCAGAGUUACCAGGGAAAAACUUUACCAAGGCAAUUUUAAAAAGAAAUUUAGACUAAUUUGGGAAAAAACUUAAAACCAAAACAUGACUCUAUAGUACAAGUUGCAUCCAGGAACAUCUAUUAUUUAAAAUAAUAAAACCACAUAUAUUACAACAUAACAAAACACCCGUUUAGGCAUCACAAACAGACUAACACGAUAUAUAUAACCAAUUCCAACUAGUAAACAAAUUAAAAACCAAUUACUUUGAUACACAAAUUUCCGGUGCAAAUAAUAUGUUGAAUCUUGCUAGGAACACACAUAGACUUGAACUUGAGAGGUAAAUCAGGUGCUCUAUGUGAAAUAUGAAGAUCACCCAAUGCUAAGACUAACUGGUUGUAGGAUGUAUGCCACUUGCAAAGCUACUAUGCAGGCUGUAUUUAGCGAGAUAACAUGUUGCCGUUUUGUACUAAUAUUACAACAUUUCGGCGAAAAGAAAUUAACAUAUAACUUGGCACUUCACAGAGCAUAACCAGCAUUUGUAAAAGCCACACAAACCAGAGUUACUAAUAGUUCACGACCUUGAGUCACUGAACCCCAAACUUACAGCAUAUUUUCUGAAAAAAGGAAUAAACCACCCACCAAGCCCCCCAAGCUAGCCUACACCCCUGCAGAGAACUAUCUAAAAAUUCCUUUAACAAGAUUAUUUACCACAAACAAAACAAUCAAAAUUUCACCCAAAAUAUUCAAAAAUUAUGUUAGAGAAAGAUGAAUCAAUAAAUCCACAUACAUGAGAAAGACUAAGUUUACAAGCCCAUCAAAAAUUAAUCGAAGCACACACCAAAUUGAUCAUGGUUAUCAAAAACAGUAAAACCAAAAUUCAUAUACAUACACAUAAAUACAUACACAUAAACCAAACACAGUAAGCGAAAUUGCAAGUAUACAGGAGGGAUUAUUACCAGAACGAGGUCGUGGGAGGAGUUAGGUUUGGGCAAAUGUGAUCCUGGCCACCAGAGUAACUGCAACUGUGAUCUCGCCGCGAGAGAACUCUGAUGAUGAAGGCCGAGGGUUUCCGGGUUGGAAAAUAUAAA
This 2368-nucleotide long non-coding RNA is filed under the name Daucus carota (carrot). Its description in RNAcentral is "long non-coding RNA (DCAR_LNC002395)". Lineage: Eukaryota; Viridiplantae; Streptophyta; Magnoliopsida; Apiales; Apiaceae. The record is from RNAcentral.